GAGGGUAUAGCUCAAGUGGUAGAGUACAUGCUUAGCAUACACAAGGUCCUGGGUUCAAUCCCCAGUACCUCCU
Transfer RNA from Camelus ferus (Wild Bactrian camel), 73 nucleotides. It matches the Rfam family "tRNA". From Rfam's summary of the family: Transfer RNA (tRNA) molecules are approximately 80 nucleotides in length. Lineage: Eukaryota; Metazoa; Chordata; Mammalia; Artiodactyla; Camelidae. The record is from Rfam.